Molecule: long non-coding RNA, 2006 nt
Organism: Odontomachus brunneus
Lineage: Eukaryota; Metazoa; Arthropoda; Insecta; Hymenoptera; Formicidae
Exons: 2
Source: RefSeq, a predicted model, not a curated record
UUCGACGACAGCGUUAGUUACGUUUGACGACUCGUUACUUUCUAACGUUGUGUGCAACACUUUCUUUCGUUGUCGCAUUUACAUCCGCGGAUUCGGGAACUCCUACUAUUUACCCUCCCAAACGUGUUUACACUUGUCUUCUUUGAACUGUGUCGCGUCGACGACAGAGUCAACAUCAGAAUUUUACACAAUCCAAGACGUUAAUUUAUGUUAUGUACACGAUGAUCGCUGCAACAGUACAAGAAUGUUUGAGUUCGCAAGAGGCUCGGAACGGAACUAGAGCGUUAAAGGAUCACGACGUGUUGGCAUGUACGAUUAACGUAGCGCAAAUUCGCCAAGAACGUUAAAAAAAAAACGUCGGGAUGUGACAAUACGUUGGAUUCGAGAAAUCUAAGUUACCAUUUAGAUUACUAAGUUACUAAGUUACCUGCUAAGUUACUAACAACGUUCCUUUCUAGCGAUAAUAAUCUCACCUGCGGGAAGUAUACGGAGAAAGGAGAUUUGCUUAAAAGGACUUAGGGACGGUUAGAGCAUCCGGUCUUAAGGUCGAGGUAACGCGCCCUCAAAUCCCUCACCCUUUCUGGACCGUCUCCCAUUGUCGAAGAGCCUUUCCGGCCGGUUCUGCUGAUUAUAAUACCGGGGAGGAGCGCGGGGUGAUUCUUAACGUCCUUGAAGGGGACGCGGAGGAACGCCACUUUCUGUUCGCGACGCGACAAUGUUCGCGGAGCAGCGCUUGUAUAUGCUCGUGUACGCACAUGCACGCUCGCUCCUUCGGUGGCGUCGCAACCUCGCGGUAUUUCGUCACGGUAUCAGCCAUGGUAGACGGAGUAUCGAAUAUCUGGAACGAGUCGGGGGGAGCGACGGAGGAGGGAAGCGUGGAAGGUGCGAGGUCUCCUCGUGGGUACGCGGAGAACGUCGACUGCGCUAAGCCGCUUCAACAAUGAAGCAGGUGUCCGUUUUACGUAAGUCACGCUUGUGUUCUCUCCUCCUCGUUCCCUUUGCACCGAUGAAUCGUCUGUCGUGUUACCUUCUCUUUUCUUCUCUUCGUCCUCCAGUCCAUUCGCGUCUUGGAGGUAGCCGCGGAGUUAUUCUAUUAUUCCUGGCGAUUCCCGCGGGGAUUGGAGAUCUAUUCUUUUCCGAAGAACUUCCCAAGAACUGGUGCAAUCAGUUAGAGUGAAACGAUCUAUACUUGGCUCUGUCAAAUUUGUUGCAUCAGUGUGCACCAGUUGUAGGCAGCUCUUCGAAGAAGAGAAGAACAAUCCUUGGGUCUAGGGAUUUAUGCAUCCUCGUAAAGCAAGUCGUUCGAAUUAAAUCGACCGCGUCCUAAGUGAGCGACGAGUGAGCGUUGAGGAGGCGGGCGUGGCGUGGGAGAGGAAGCGCGAAGCGUUUCAUCGGCGUUUUCUCACUGUGCCAACGUUGCGUGAUGGUUCGCGCGGUGAUUAAUUUGAUCGUUGAUGAAUGACCAAGAUUCUCUCUGAUGCGUGGGGUCGAGAUUAUGAAAAUUAGCUGUUAAUCCAUAAGUGCGCUAAUGACUAAUCAACAUCCAACAGUUUAUCAUUUUCUGGGUCUUCUUUGGGUCACAGUGUCUCACUGUGACCCAACUAGCAUUCUACCUAUCUUUUUUUCAUUUAUAGUGAGUUUAAAUUUCUACUGCCCACUGUGAUUCUGAGGUCACACAAUACAGUUUCAUCAUUAUUUAUCAUCAAUAUGAAUGUUGUUCCUGUGACUGAUGUGAUGUGAAAGUCACAAUAUGGCUGCCUUCUUUCAUAUGUUAACAGUGAUAGUAACUGUCCAACGUGACCUCAGAGUCACAUAAUCUAUUUAAAUAAAAAAUUAGAAAAAUAAAAUUUCUUAUACGCGUUGAGUUGUAUGUACUUUAGUUUUAAACAUCCUAUAUGAAAGAAUUUUUAAACAUGAGAAAUUAGAUAGUUAAGGAUUAACUAACUUAUAUAGCCGAUAUAGUCGAUUAUAUUAUUACUAUAUAGUUCCUCAUAAACAUAAAGAGU